This 1188-nucleotide long non-coding RNA is filed under the name Cricetulus griseus (Chinese hamster). Its description in RNAcentral is "lncRNA (ENSCGRG00015040212.1)". Lineage: Eukaryota; Metazoa; Chordata; Mammalia; Rodentia; Cricetidae. The record is from RNAcentral.
GAAGCUUAGAGAGAAGCUGAUGUACAAGAUUUCUGAAUAAACUGCUUGAAGAAGAGUCGUGGUCGUGUUUCUCUUGCUGGUCGAGAUAGAUGGUCCAAGUGGUGGCCCGUACGGGAACCUCUGUGGGUGAAUGGCUCAGAACUUCCUGCAGUCAGAGCAGUUGACUGGUAAGUCCCAGGAUCAAUCAGAGCCAGUGUGGGUUCCAGAAAGGCUGACAAGAAGAGUCCCUGCCUCUGAGGAUGGCGAAAAUCAUAAGCAGACCAAUGUACCUGAUGCUGACGAUCAUGGCGGUGAUGCUGAUCAACAAGACGACAGCAGAACUCCGAUGGGGGAUUCUGUCUGUGUUCCCAAAACCACUGCCAAUCAGACAUUCUGCUCAAGUUUUCCCUAGAUUUUUUAGUAGCAAUUUGAGUUUAAAUUUACCUUUUUUGCCUUUAGAUAAAGAUAUUAGUCCUGUAGAGGGUAAUGUUAGUUUUGGUUUGCCAGUGAAUUUGUGCUUUUUUAUAGUUAGUAAUAUUAGUCAGAAUAAUGAUGGGUGCCCUGGGAGGAAUGCUUAUCCUUGUCAGUAUCAUUGCUUUAUGGUGUAUCUUCAGGAUGAAGGUUUCACAGAGGAGAAGUAAUGCCAUGAUUUCACAAGCCUUCGCAGACCUGGAGGCAGUGCAGUCUCCUCAGGCUUAACGGUACUCAAAAGCUAAGUAAUUACUUCCUCCACACAAGUUGCAAGAUGUAGUACUGCACAUGAAGUGUGAACUUCAUGAAGGGCAAGUCUGAUUGCAUAUGGGUUGGUAUAGUAAUCCCAUCUCUGACAAAAGAUACUGGACUGGUGUGGCAACAGCUUGGCUGAUACCUAGGUGUGGGGCCAUUACAUUGUCCCUUGUUUUAAGAGAUCAGACCCCUACCCUUACCUGUUGUGCUAUAAAAUAAAAAAGGGGCAACUGUGGAGAACCACAGCCCUAAGAUGGUGCCUGGCUGGAUGCCAGGUAGUCCAAGCUUAGCUGUAAACAAACCUUAUUUGGAAGUGCUUGAGGCAUCUGGCGAGCUUCCUCCUUCUGUGGCCUAUCUGGGAUUGCCAGAUGGCAUGAGCUGAUUGGGCACUGAGCAUCUACUUAAGGGCUUGUGGGGGCUGGCAGAGGGGAAGCUGAUGAAGAAGCUGAAAGAGAAGCUGGUAUACAAGGUUCCUGAAUAAAC